RNAcentral lists this long non-coding RNA (774 nucleotides) under Bemisia tabaci. RNAcentral's name for it is "lncRNA ENSSWEETPG006187". The record is from RNAcentral. Lineage: Eukaryota; Metazoa; Arthropoda; Insecta; Hemiptera; Aleyrodidae.
AUGAAAGAUACCAAGGAAGAUGUGAGCCUCUCAUCUAUUAUGUAUCUUGGAAUCGGCUGUGGUGCAUUAUCUCUAGUAUUAAUUUUCAUCAUGGCGACCAUUUUCUGCUGUAGAAGGAAUUCCAGUCUAGACAGCUCUAAAAAAGAAUACAUGAAAACUGGAACGGGUAGUAAGCAGAAAAGUCUCAACACAAACUUGAAGCCUCCCGACUUAUGGAUUCACCACGAUCAAAUGGAACUAAAGGCAUUGGAAAAGUCAUCACAGGGAUCCCUAGACACUGCCUCUGGUGGUGGGCCCAGCUCUAUUAACCUCUCCAAAGAGUUUGAUGUCUCUGACCACCACCAAGAAACGCGGGUUCAUCAUCACACUUCAUCCACUAUGACAAACUCUUUAGAUAAACGCAAUUAUAUUUCUUCAUACAUAGGGAGUCCAUCUGAACAACCCUUAUUGUCUGAAGAAAAAAAAUCAACUCUACGGUCUGCUUCUAAAAGCAAGCCUAUUUCCCAUCAAAUGGACAGGCGUAGCGCUUCCAGCAAUUCAAGUUCUGAUAUUGUCGAAAUGCAACCACUAUAUCCUCAUCAACACUACAGUGUAUCUCGAGCACAUGUAACAGUUGAUGCAACAGGAGCACUUGAGAACACCUAUAUUAUUCAAAGUGCAGCACCUAGCACAUAUGAAUCAAUCAACAACCCAAAUACAUCUCAGCCUCCCAGUACGCCAAUUCAAGGACAAAACUUAUGGGUAUGUUUUGAUUACUUCUUUUACAUUAGCUAG